This is a long non-coding RNA of Panonychus citri (citrus red mite), 1313 nucleotides long. RefSeq lists it as uncharacterized. The transcript is spliced from 4 exons. The record is from RefSeq and is a predicted model, not a curated record. Lineage: Eukaryota; Metazoa; Arthropoda; Arachnida; Trombidiformes; Tetranychidae.
GUAACCAAUGGCAACGAGAAUUUUUGUUUUGUUUACAUUUGGUUUUCUCUUUUUAUUUGAUUUUCUUUUCUUUUUUCUCUCUGGUAAAUUGUUAUUUUCUUAUUCUACUAAUUAGUUAAUUGUGUUAAUUAAAGGAAAACAGGUUAACCAAAGAGAGAUACACAAUAAAAGAAAAGAUGACAAGAAAAUUGGAACCUGAUUGAUGACAAUUAACCCGAACGGUCUAAUGAAUAACAAAUUGGUUUAAUUGUGGAAAACAUUUUGAUAAUCAAAUCGGAAAAUCAAACAAUGGAUAAAACCAAGCAACCAUUUCGGACCUUUAAACCAUUACAAUAAUUUUGGAUUAAGGAUUAACCUUUGAUCUGGACAAUAAAUAUGAUUACAAUUGAUGAUUGAAACAAAAAUGUUUCUCACAAAUUAUCAUCACAAUCAAAUUAUUAUGAUGAUUUUUUGACAAACUAAUCAACACAAUUUGGCCAACUUUCCAUUAACUAUAUAAACUCAACUGACAUUUGGAAAAAUAUCAACUUGCUCACAAGUCUUCAAACAAACAACAACAACAAUCAACUUUAAACAGUUAAAAGUUUCCUGUGUUUUUUAACAAUCAACCAAAUCACUACCAACAAUUAAUAAAAUGUCUCCAAAAGUUAUUGUUAUUGCCAUCAUUGUCUGCCUUUGGUGCCUUAUGGAUUUAAGUUACGCCGGUGAUAAAGGUUCAAACAUCGUCCUUCAGGAUAAACAUUCACAGAUCAUUUUGAACUCGAACAAGAAAGGCGGUGAAAAUAUCAUCAUUAAGGAUAAUAAACACAAUUGCUGUGGACACAAGGAGCACGUUAAAUAUGUUUACGUGCCAGUCUACACUCACCACGAGCACCAAGGGUGGGGCCAAGAGCACCAAGGUUGGGGACACGAGCAACAACAUUGGGGUGGUUGGCAAUAAAUUACUCCCGGUGAGGAUUCAAUCAACACAUUAAUCAAUCCCGACAUCGAUCCAAUCAUUUAACGACAAUUAAUCAAUAGUUGUUUCAACUCGCCAAUCAAAUCAUCAUCAUUCAUCAUUUUCCCUCUCAAAGGCCUUUAAUUCAUUCAAAUUACAGCCACAAUUAACUUAAUCACCCAAUGGAUAGUUAUAAUUACUUUUCUUCCUCUCUCUCUCUCUCUCCCUCUUUCUUUACACAAUUAACUGCAUCUCAGUUGAUCUGAAUCAGUUAAUUGUGUUGCCAUUGUAUAAAAUUAAAACAGCAAUUAGCUUUUAAUUGCAUCUCCAUUGAUCAUGAUUAAAAUUAAAUAAUAAUAAUUUAUCUCAAAACUAA